UGCCAGCCGCCGCGGUAAUACGGAGGGUGCAAGCGUUAUCCGGAAUCACUAGGUUUAAAGGGUGCGUAGGCCGUUCAGUAAGUCAGUUGUGGAGUUCCCCGGCUUAACCGGUGGGACUGCGAUUGAUACUGUUGGACUUGAAUCAGGUUGAGGUAGGCGGAAUGUGUCAUGUAGCGGUGAAAUGCUUAGAUAUGACACAGAACACCGAUUGCGAAGGCAGCUUACUAAACUGUUACUGACGCUGAGGCACGAAAGCGUGGGGAGCGAACAGGAUUAGAUA
Molecule: ribosomal RNA, 280 nt
Filed under: uncultured bacterium
Lineage: Bacteria
Description: partial 16S ribosomal RNA
Rfam family: Bacterial small subunit ribosomal RNA
Source: RNAcentral